This 21-nucleotide non-coding RNA is filed under the name Arabidopsis thaliana (thale cress). The record is from RNAcentral. Lineage: Eukaryota; Viridiplantae; Streptophyta; Magnoliopsida; Brassicales; Brassicaceae.
GGAUGCUCAUCUUGGGUGUCA